This is a long non-coding RNA of Microplitis mediator, 1614 nucleotides long. RefSeq lists it as uncharacterized. The transcript is spliced from 3 exons. The record is from RefSeq and is a predicted model, not a curated record. NCBI's taxonomy places the organism in Eukaryota, Metazoa, Arthropoda, Insecta, Hymenoptera, Braconidae.
CUUAUAAAUAUGAAUCAGAGAUUUAAUUAAAAAUAUUUGAUUCCAAGCAUUGGUAUCAAUAAUGAGUGGAAAAUUAUAUCAUUUAAUUUUCGACAAUUAUUUAUUGAAUUUCUCACAAUUGACAAAAUAAUUGAUGGAUGUGAAGUAAAGAAUUUUUUAAUUUAAUGUACUAACUCCAUUGGCAAACAUUGAGUCUCUAAAUAUCAAUUCGAUGAUAAAUGUUUUAUUAAAAAGUUUACCAAAGUAUUUGGAUUCAUCCAUUAGUUCAAUAGAACUUGGAAAUAACAGAAGGAGGAAUUUUUGAGUAUACUAUUAAUUUAAAAGAGUGCAACAAUAGGACUGAAUUUUUAAAAAUAAUAACUUAGCCUUCAUGAUCUUGUCAGCACUUGCUGAAUAUGAAUGGAAAAAUGAUGUAUUCAGUUAAAUUUAUUUAUAUGUUGAAGUGAUGGACAGUGGGUCUCUAUUGUAUCUUAGUAACCCUGAUCGGCAAGCUAGCGACAGCCUACUGCUGCAAUUUAUCGCCAAGUUGAACGCAAAAAUUGGCAUUUCUCAGAAAUUUGGUGGUAAAAAUUGACAUCCUAUUAGUUGACGGCGAGUUGCCUUCAAUUUUCCCAGAAAGUUGGUGACAGGUUGAGGCAGUAGAUUGUCGCCAACUUCCAUGGAAAAUUGGCAACAACUUGUAGUCAACAAUUAUAAAGGCUGAAGUUGUCGUCAACUUGAUCGCAACUAAUAGACAUCAACUUCCUGACCAUGUCUUGCUAUCAGCGAACGUUCGUAUCUGAAUAUAUCAAUCGUAGGCUGCUAAUUUUUCAACUGGCGGCUAUCACAACCUUAUCAAAGCAUGAUUUCUUUUUUACCGCCAGAAGAUCGGCACUGAGUGAGCAGAGUAAUUGGAAUAUUUUUCUACCAAAUUAUAAAGAUAUGCAAAAUUAUUUACCAUCUUAUUGGUACAUUUUUCUGCUUGAAAAACAAGUCUAAAAAAAUCUCUAAUAAAAAAAAAAUGAUCAUCUAUGGAAAGUUUUUCCGAAUCCAUUAACAUAAUCCACAGUCGUAUGCUACCUUAAGGGAUGACAUGCAGCAUUCUUUUAAAUUUUAUAAUACUCUAUAAAAAAUUAUUGAUUACUUACAAAAUUAGAUUUAAUUAGAUUUUCGAUGCGUUAAAUUUGAAUUUGAUAUUUUAUUUUUUUAUAUAGUAGAAUAACUCAACUCAAAUUACCUUACAUGAAUAUAAAGUUAGCGCUGAUUAUAUAAUCAAUUAGCGAUGCGAGAUAAGGUCUGUGACGUUCAUUAAAUUAAAAAAAUAAAUAUAACAUUUUAAUGUCAAAAUUAAGAUUCUUUAUACAGCCAAUCUUAAUAAAUUUAAUCAAAAUAUAUAUAUACUUAUCUCGAAUAUAAGAAAACGUAAAUUUUAAAGACUUAUCUCAUAAAUCAUAAAAAUUAGACGGUGUAGUAAAGUCAGAUAAUUUAUAAAUGGACAAAUUAUAUAUGGAUUAAUAUAUAUAUACAUACCAAUGGAAGAUUUUUGCCUUUAGAAAAGUUGUAAUAAUUCAACAGUCUAAAUUGGAUAAAAUUUCAGUAUUCAAGACUGAGCAGUUAAGAAUUCAAUUAACGAUA